CCCACCAACUAGUCWGUYGRURGGAYGUGCCUUCGGGAACUGUGAGACAGGUGCUGCAUGGCUGUCGUCAGCUCGUGAGKGAAAUGUUGGGUUAAGUCCCGCAACGAGCGCAACCCUUAUCMUWUGUUGCCAGCGGUCCGGCCGGGAACUCAAAGGAGACUGCCAGUGAUAAACUGGAGGAAGGUGGGGAUGACGUCAAGUCAUCAUGGCCCUUACGACCAGGGCUACACACGUGCUACAAUGGCGCAUACAAAGAGAAGCGACCUCGCGAGAGCAAGCGGACCUCAUAAAGUGCGUCGUAGUCCGGAUUGGAGUCUGCAACUCGACUCCAUGAAGUCGGAAUCGCUAGUAAUCGUGGAUCARAAUGCCACGGUGAAUACGUUCCCGGGUCUUGUACACACCGAA
RNAcentral lists this ribosomal RNA (405 nucleotides) under Escherichia coli. RNAcentral describes it as "partial 16S ribosomal RNA". It matches the Rfam family "Bacterial small subunit ribosomal RNA", at positions 988 to 1394 of the family's 1533-position model. The record is from RNAcentral. Lineage: Bacteria; Pseudomonadati; Pseudomonadota; Gammaproteobacteria; Enterobacterales; Enterobacteriaceae.